CCUACGGGUGGCAGCAGUGAGGAAUAUUGGUCAAUGGGCGCAAGCCUGAACCAGCCAAGUCGCGUGAGGGAAGACGGCCCUACGGGUUGUAAACCGCUUUUGCCGGGGAGCAAGCCUGAGCACGUGUGCCCAGGCGGAGAGAACCCGGAGACAAAGCAUGGCCUAACUCCGUGCCAGCAGCCGCGGUAAUACGGAGGCAGCGAGCGUUAUCCGGAUUUAUUGGGUUGAAAGGGUGCGCAGGCGGGCUGUUAAGCCGGCGGUAAAAAUUCAGGGCUCAACCCUGCCGAGCCGUCGGAACUGGCAGUCUUGAGUGGGCGAGAGGUAGGCGGAAUGCGUGGUGUAGCGGUGAAAUGCAUAGAUAUCACGAAGAACGCCGAUUGCGAAGGCAGCAUACCGGCGCGCAACUGACGCUGAGGCACGAAAGCGUGGGGAUCGAACAGGAUUAGAUACCCGAGUAGUC
Molecule: ribosomal RNA, 460 nt
Filed under: uncultured bacterium
Lineage: Bacteria
Description: partial 16S ribosomal RNA
Rfam family: Bacterial small subunit ribosomal RNA
Source: RNAcentral